This 253-nucleotide ribosomal RNA is filed under the name uncultured bacterium. RNAcentral's name for it is "partial 16S ribosomal RNA". It matches the Rfam family "Bacterial small subunit ribosomal RNA", at positions 524 to 776 of the family's 1533-position model. The record is from RNAcentral.
UACGUAGGUGGCAAGCGUUGUCCGGAUUUACUGGGCGUAAAGGGCGUGCAGGCGGUCUGUUAAGUGCAGGGUGAAAGCUCCCGGCUCAACUGGGAGAGGUCCUUGCAUACUGGCGGACUUGAGGGGGGUAGAGGAAAGUGGAAUUCCCGGUGUAGUGGUGAUAUGCGUAGAUAUCGGGAAGAACACCGAUGGCGAAGGCAGCUCUCUGGGACGGUACUGACGCUGAGACGCGAAAGCGUGGGGAGCGAACAGG